UAUGUUCUAAUCUAAUUUAACCUUACUUUAGACUUUGGUAUUCAGAUUUCGUUCUGAAUCACAUUCGAUGUAAUCGUAAAAUCCCAGAGGAAGAAGAAGGGCACCAAAAUGUAAAGUCUGGUUAGAAUGAAAACAAGUAUGUAUAAAC
Maniola jurtina (meadow brown) is the source of this 148-nucleotide long non-coding RNA. RefSeq lists it as uncharacterized. The transcript has 4 exons. The record is from RefSeq and is a predicted model, not a curated record. Lineage: Eukaryota; Metazoa; Arthropoda; Insecta; Lepidoptera; Nymphalidae.